AAUCCAUAGGUUAAUGAGGCGAACCGGGGGAACUGAAACAUCUAAGUACCCCGAGGAAAAGAAAUCAACCGAGAUUCCCCCAGUAGCGGCGAGCGAACGGGGAGGAGCCCAGAGCCUGAAUCAGCAUGUGUGUUAGUGGAAGCGUCUGGAAAGGCGCGCGAUACAGGGUGACAGCCCCGUACACAAAAGCGCAUGUGCUGUGAGCUCGAUGAGUAGGGCGGGACACGUGGUAUCCUGUCUGAAUAUGGGGGGACCAUCCUCCAAGGCUAAAUACUCCUGACUGACCGAUAGUGAACCAGUACCGUGAGGGAAAGGCGAAAAGAACCCCGGCGAGGGGAGUGAAAAAGAACCUGAAACCGUGUACGUACAAGCAGUGGGAGCACAGGUUUACCUGUGUGACUGCGUACCUUUUGUAUAAUGGGUCAGCGACUUAUAUUCUGUAGCAAGGUUAACCGAAUAGGGGAGUCGGAGGGAAACCGAGUCUUAAUUGGGCGUUAAGUUGCAGGGUAUAGACCCGAAACCCGGUGAUCUAGCCAUGGGCAGGUUGAAGGUUGGGUAACACUAACUGGAGGACCGAACCGACUAAUGUUGAAAAAUUAGCGGAUGACCUGUGGCUGGGGGUGAAAGGCCAAUCAAACCGGGAGAUAGCUGGUUCUCCCCGAAAGCUAUUUAGGUAGCGCCUCGUGAA
RNAcentral lists this ribosomal RNA (688 nucleotides) under Salmonella enterica subsp. enterica serovar Montevideo. Its description in RNAcentral is "partial 23S ribosomal RNA". It matches the Rfam family "Bacterial large subunit ribosomal RNA", at positions 161 to 888 of the family's 2925-position model. Lineage: Bacteria; Pseudomonadati; Pseudomonadota; Gammaproteobacteria; Enterobacterales; Enterobacteriaceae. The record is from RNAcentral.